This 417-nucleotide ribosomal RNA is filed under the name Triticum aestivum (bread wheat). Its description in RNAcentral is "partial small subunit ribosomal RNA". Lineage: Eukaryota; Viridiplantae; Streptophyta; Magnoliopsida; Poales; Poaceae. The record is from RNAcentral.
AUGGACAUGUACAAAUUUUCAGAUCAAGUCAUCACCUCGGCUACUAGGCGGUGUGUAUGUUGUGCUGCACGUGGUUUUACAGAUUGUCCUGCGUCAGUUCCUACGAAUUCAAAGGCAGUGCGAUUCACCACACCUGCUGCUCAGAAAAUAAAAGGGCAAAGGCUUGACUUAUCUGACUGUGAAGGUACAUCAACGGCACCGCUAGGAGGGGCUUCUCGGAAGCGUGCCUUAUGCGCCGAGGACUCUACAUCUAGUACCAAGAAAUCAAACUCAGGGGCAUCUUGCAACAUUCUUACUUAUUUCAAGUCAACUAUAGUAUCAGUUGCUCAAAAGUAUGCUGACCUGUCAAAUAACCCAAAUGUCAAUGUCUUUGGUCAAUGUCGAAACACCCCUCAAAAACGGAAGUAUAUAUUCUAG